GAUGAACGCUGGCGGCGUGCCUAAUACAUGCAAGUCGAGCGAACAGACGAGGAGCUUGCUCCUCUGACGUUAGCGGCGGACGGGUGAGUAACACGUGGAUAACCUACCUAUAAGACUGGGAUAACUUCGGGAAACCGGAGCUACUACCGGAUAAUAUAUUGAACCGCAUGGUUCAAUAGUGAAAGACGGUUUUGCUGUCACUUAUAGAUGGAUCCGCGCCGCAUUAGCUAGUUGGUAAGGUAACGGCUUACCAAGGCGACGAUGCGUAGCCGACCUGAGAGCGUGAUCGCACACACGGGAAGUGAGACACGGUCCAGACUCCGACGGGAGGCAGCAGUAGGGAAUCUUCCGCAAUGGGCGAAAGCCUGACGGAGCAACGCCGCGUGAGUGAUGAAGGUCUUCGGAUCGUAAAGCUCUGUUAUUAGGGAAGAACAAAUGUGUAAGUAACUAUGCACGUCUUGACGGUACCGAAUCAGAAAGCCACGGCUAACUACGUG
RNAcentral lists this ribosomal RNA (497 nucleotides) under uncultured bacterium. Its description in RNAcentral is "partial 16S ribosomal RNA". It matches the Rfam family "Bacterial small subunit ribosomal RNA", at positions 28 to 507 of the family's 1533-position model. The record is from RNAcentral.